Molecule: non-coding RNA, 778 nt
Organism: Pantherophis guttatus
Lineage: Eukaryota; Metazoa; Chordata; Lepidosauria; Squamata; Colubridae
Source: RefSeq, a predicted model, not a curated record
CUUUGGGAGUUGGCACAGAUGGAUUGUAUCCUGUUUGCAGUUGAGGUGAGCUUUUUCCAGCAGCUGCUUUUCCUCCAAUCCCCUCAGGAGAAUUGGAGCCAGCUAGCAUGGCCCUCGGGGUGCUGUUUUUACUGGUGGCAUUUACUCAAGUCUUUCUGCAGACAGUCUUUCUGCUUCAAGCGCACCCAGUCUCCUGGAGACAUCAACAACAAUUACCGGUACAGCAGCUCUAACAGUCUCAGAUACAACCCCAGGCAGAGCAGAUGUCACCUCAAAAGCAGCCAGCUCACCUGUGCCCCAAUCCACUAGAGCCACAAGCAGCACCACAAAAACAAAUGACUCGACCACCAAUUGGAGCACCGUGAGUUCUCCUACCGGAUCCAAAGAGCCUCUCACUACUACCCAAACUGUGGAGUCCAUCAACGGCAGCACUUCGGCAGGACCGCUUAGCCCCGAACCGGCAUUUUCAGCAAAACCAGGCCUCGUGGUUGUGAUCUGUCUCUUCGUCUUUGUCCUAGUCAUUGUAGCAGUUGUGGUCUUAAUAAAAUGCUGCCGUCCGAAGGAACCAGCCUUUAAGAAAUUGGAAGAGGUGCCGAUGGGAAAAGUUACAGAAGAUUCUCCAUUUGCCCGAUUCCCACCAAAAUAACCAAGCAGACCCUUUCCAACUCAUCUUCUGGAUUCUUGCUCCAUGGAUAUUUUAAGCAAGCAUCAAGAAUGUCUACUCCACCCAAGAGACUUUGUGUGUGAAAUAAACUUGUUCCAGUUGCAUGAGUGCCAA